RNAcentral lists this ribosomal RNA (253 nucleotides) under uncultured bacterium. RNAcentral's name for it is "partial 16S ribosomal RNA". It matches the Rfam family "Bacterial small subunit ribosomal RNA", at positions 524 to 776 of the family's 1533-position model. The record is from RNAcentral.
UACGGGGGGGGCAAGCGUUGUUCGGAAUUACUGGGCGUAAAGGGCUCGUAGGCGGCCAACUAAGUCGGAUGUGAAAUCCCCAAGCUUAACUUGGGAACUGCAUCCGAUACUGGAUGGCUUGAAUCCGGGAGAGGGAUGCAGAAUUCCAGGUGUAGCGGUGAAAUGCGUAGAUAUCUGGAGGAAUACCGGUGGCGAAGGCGGCAUCCUGGACCAUUACUGACGCUGAGGCGCGAAAGCUAGGGGAGCAAACGGG